RNAcentral lists this small RNA (127 nucleotides) under Marmota monax (woodchuck). The record is from RNAcentral. Lineage: Eukaryota; Metazoa; Chordata; Mammalia; Rodentia; Sciuridae.
GCCAGGCAUGAUGGCGUAUGCCUGUAAUCCCAGCAACUCGGGAGGCUGAGGCAGGAGGAUUGCAAGUUCCAGGCCAGCCUCAGCAACUUAGAGAGGCCCUCAGCAACUUAGCAAGACCCUGUCUUGG